RNAcentral lists this ribosomal RNA (468 nucleotides) under uncultured bacterium. Its description in RNAcentral is "partial 16S ribosomal RNA". It matches the Rfam family "Bacterial small subunit ribosomal RNA", at positions 28 to 507 of the family's 1533-position model. The record is from RNAcentral.
GACGAACGCUGGCGGCGUGCUUAACACAUGCAAGUCGAACGGAAAGGCCCUGCUUUUGUGGGGUGCUCGAGUGGCGAACGGGUGAGUAACACGUUAGUAACCUGCCCUUGACUUUGGGAUCACUUCAGGAAACUGGGGCUAAUACCGGAUAGGAGCUCCUGCUGCAUGGUGGGGGUUGGAAAGUUUCGGCGGUUGGGGAUGGACUCGCGGCUUAUCAGCUUGUUGGUGGGGUAGUGGCUUACCAAGGCUUUGACGGGUAGCCGGCCUGAGAGGGUGACCGGCCACAUUGGGACUGAGAUACGGCCCAGACUCCUACGGGAGGCAGCAGUGGGGAAUAUGGCACAAUGGGCGGAAGCCUGAUGCAGCAACGCCGCGUGCGGGAUGACGGCCAGCGGGUUGUAAACCGCUUUCGCCUGUGACGAAGCGUGAGUGACGGUAAUGGGUAAAGAAGCACCGGCUAACUACGUG